RNAcentral lists this ribosomal RNA (500 nucleotides) under uncultured bacterium. RNAcentral's name for it is "bacterial SSU rRNA". It matches the Rfam family "Bacterial small subunit ribosomal RNA", at positions 901 to 1398 of the family's 1533-position model. The record is from RNAcentral.
UCAAAGGAAUUGACGGGGGCCCGCACAAGCGGUGGAGCAUGUGGUUCAAUUCGAAGCAACGCGAAGAACCUUACCAGCCCUUGACAUCCCGGUCGCGGGAGCGAGAGAUCGAUCCCUUCAGUUCGGCUGGACCGGAGACAGGUGCUGCAUGGCUGUCGUCAGCUCGUGUCGUGAGAUGUUGGGUUAAGUCCCGCAACGAGCGCAACCCUCGCCCUUAGUUGCCAUCAUUCAGUUGGGCCCUCUAAGGGGACUGCCGGUGAUAAGCCGCGAGGAAGGUGGGGAUGACGUCAAGUCCUCAUGGCCCUUACGGGCUGGGCUACACACGUGCUACAAUGGCGGUGACAAUGGGAUGCAAUGGGGCAACCCUGCGCAAAUCUCAAAAAGCCGUCUCAGUUCGGAUUGCACUCUGCAACUCGAGUGCAUGAAGUUGGAAUCGCUAGUAAUCGCAGAUCAGCACGCUGCGGUGAAUACGUUCCCGGGCCUUGUACUCACCGCCCGUC